GAUGAACGCUGGCGGCGUGCCUAACACAUGCAAGUCGAACGGAGUCCAGCCUUUGAGACCUUCGGGUCAAAGAGGGGAAGACUGAGUGGCGGACGGGUGAGUAACACGUGGGCAACCUGGCUCAUAGAGGGGGAUAACAGAGAGAAAUUUCUGCUAAUACCGCAUAAGCACACACUGCCGCAUGGCAGAGGGUGAAAAGAGAAUCGCUAUGAGAUGGACCCGCGUCUGAUUAGCCAGUUGGCAGGGUAAGAGCCUACCAAAGCGACGAUCAGUAGCCGAUCUGAGAGGAUGAACGGCCACAUUGGGACUGAGACACGGCCCAAACUCCUACGGGAGGCAGCAGUGGGGGAUAUUGCACAAUGGGGGGAACCCUGAUGCAGCGACGCCGCGUGAGUGAAGAAGUAUUUCGGUAUGUAAAGCUCUAUCAGCAGGGAAGAUAAUGACAGUACCUGAAUAAGAAGCCCCGGCUAACUACGUG
RNAcentral lists this ribosomal RNA (478 nucleotides) under uncultured bacterium. RNAcentral's name for it is "partial 16S ribosomal RNA". It matches the Rfam family "Bacterial small subunit ribosomal RNA", at positions 28 to 507 of the family's 1533-position model. The record is from RNAcentral.